GUCCACGCCGUAAACGAUGGAUACUAGCUGUUCGGCGCAAGUUGAGUGGCUAAGCGAAAGUGAUAAGUAUCCCACCUGGGGAGUACGUUCGCAAGAAUGAAACUCAAAGGAAUUGACGGGGGCCCGCACAAGCGGAGGAGCAUGUGGUUUAAUUCGAUGAUACGCGAGGAACCUUACCAGGGCUUAAAUGGGAGACGACAGGACUGGAAACAGUUUUUUCUUCGGACGUCUUUCAAGGUGCUGCAUGGUUGUCGU
This 255-nucleotide ribosomal RNA is filed under the name uncultured bacterium. Its description in RNAcentral is "partial 16S ribosomal RNA". It matches the Rfam family "Bacterial small subunit ribosomal RNA", at positions 793 to 1055 of the family's 1533-position model. The record is from RNAcentral.